RNAcentral lists this ribosomal RNA (1407 nucleotides) under Cyanobium sp. PCC 9005. RNAcentral's name for it is "bacterial SSU rRNA". It matches the Rfam family "Bacterial small subunit ribosomal RNA". Lineage: Bacteria; Bacillati; Cyanobacteriota; Cyanophyceae; Synechococcales; Prochlorococcaceae. The record is from RNAcentral.
GAUGAACGCUGGCGGCGUGCUUAACACAUGCAAGUCGAACGAACCUUCGGGUUAGUGGCGGACGGGUGAGUAACGCGUGAGAAUCUGCCCUCAGGAGGGGGAUAACGGCUGGAAACGGCCGCUAAUACCCCAUAUGCCGAGAGGUGAAACGAAUUUCGCCUGAGGAUGAGCUCGCGUCUGAUUAGCUAGUUGGUGGGGUAAAGGCCUACCAAGGCAUCGAUCAGUAGCUGGUCUGAGAGGAUGAUCAGCCACACUGGGACUGAGACACGGCCCAGACUCCUACGGGAGGCAGCAGUGGGGAAUUUUCCGCAAUGGGCGAAAGCCUGACGGAGCAACGCCGCGUGAGGGAUGAAGGCCUCUGGGCUGUAAACCUCUUUUCUCAAGGAAGAAGAUCUGACGGUACUUGAGGAAUAAGCCACGGCUAAUUCCGUGCCAGCAGCCGCGGUAAUACGGGAGUGGCAAGCGUUAUCCGGAAUUAUUGGGCGUAAAGCGUCCGCAGGCGGCCUUUUAAGUCUGUUGUUAAAGCGUGGAGCUUAACUCCAUUUAAGCAAUGGAAACUGGAAGGCUAGAGUGUGGUAGGGGCAGAGGGAAUUCCCGGUGUAGCGGUGAAAUGCGUAGAUAUCGGGAAGAACACCAGUGGCGAAGGCGCUCUGCUGGGCCAUAACUGACGCUCAUGGACGAAAGCCAGGGGAGCGAAAGGGAUUAGAUACCCCUGUAGUCCUGGCCGUAAACGAUGAACACUAGGUGUCGGGGGAAUCGACCCCCUCGGUGUCGUAGCCAACGCGUUAAGUGUUCCGCCUGGGGAGUACGCACGCAAGUGUGAAACUCAAAGGAAUUGACGGGGGCCCGCACAAGCGGUGGAGUAUGUGGUUUAAUUCGAUGCAACGCGAAGAACCUUACCAGGGUUUGACAUCCUGCGAAUCCCUUGGAAACGAGGGAGUGCCUUCGGGAGCGCAGUGACAGGUGGUGCAUGGCUGUCGUCAGCUCGUGUCGUGAGAUGUUGGGUUAAGUCCCGCAACGAGCGCAACCCACGUCUUUAGUUGCCAGCAUUCAGUUGGGCACUCUAGAGAGACCGCCGGUGAUAAACCGGAGGAAGGUGUGGAUGACGUCAAGUCAUCAUGCCCCUUACAUCCUGGGCUACACACGUACUACAAUGCUACGGACAAAGGGCAGCAAACUCGCGAGAGCUAGCAAAUCCCAUAAACCGUGGCUCAGUUCAGAUCGUAGGCUGCAACUCGCCUACGUGAAGGAGGAAUCGCUAGUAAUCGCAGGUCAGCAUACUGCGGUGAAUACGUUCCCGGGCCUUGUACACACCGCCCGUCACACCAUGGAAGUUGGCCACGCCCGAAGCCGUUACUCCAACCCUUGUGGAGGAGGACGUCGAAGGUGGGGCUGAUGACUGGGGUG